GACGAACGCUGGCGGCGUGCUUAACACAUGCAAGUCGAACGGAAAGGCCCUGCUUUUGUGGGGUGCUCGAGUGGCGAACGGGUGAGUAACACGUGAGUAACCUGCCCUUGACUUUGGGAUAACUUCAGGAAACUGGUGCUAAUACCGGAUAGGAGCUCCUGCUGCAUGGUGGGGGUUGGAAAGUUUCGGCGGUUGGGGAUGGACUCGCGGCUUAUCAGCUUGUUGGUGGGGUAGUGGCCUACCAAGGCUUUGACGGGUAGCCGGCCUGAGAGGGUGACCGGCCACAUUGGGACUGAGAUACGGCCCAGACUCCUACGGGAGGCAGCAGUGGGGAAUAUUGCACAAUGGGCGGAAGCCUGAUGCAGCAACGCCGCGUGCGGGAUGACGGCCUUCGGGUUGUAAACCGCUUUCGCCUGUGACGAAGCGUGAGUGACGGUAAUGGGUAAAGAAGCACCGGCUAACUACGUG
This 468-nucleotide ribosomal RNA is filed under the name uncultured bacterium. Its description in RNAcentral is "partial 16S ribosomal RNA". It matches the Rfam family "Bacterial small subunit ribosomal RNA", at positions 28 to 507 of the family's 1533-position model. The record is from RNAcentral.